This 42470-nucleotide long non-coding RNA is filed under the name Brassica rapa (field mustard). Lineage: Eukaryota; Viridiplantae; Streptophyta; Magnoliopsida; Brassicales; Brassicaceae. The record is from RNAcentral.
UUUUGGCACGCAAAAAAGAUCGAAAGCGGAUUCUCAGGGUGUUUUUGAUGCUUUCUGAACGCCAUUAACCUCGACGCACUUUUUCGCUCGAAACAAAAUGGCAAGAAAAUCAUGUGGGUCCCACGGCCUCACACUUGGAUUGGCUGCAAAAAGGAUAUGUAGAAACGAGAGUGAUAUACUGACGGGUGCGAUCAUACCAGCACUAAUGCACCGGAUCCCAUCAGAACUCCGCAGUUAAGCGUGCUUGGGCGAGAGUAGUACUAGGAUGGGUGACCUCCCGGGAAGUCCUCGUGUUGCACCCCUUUUUAUUUUUUAAUUUUUUUUAAUGCAUCCUAAGACGAGUCUAAACUUGGAAACCUCAUAACUUUUGAACCGUGAGGAACUACGUCGCCCAUAGCACCAUUUCGGAAAGCCCCAGAAACCAUAAUGGGCGGUGAAUAGGCGGCGCCAAUUUUUCGGGCUCAAAUUCAGCCGUUUUGACCCUCAAACGGGCUGCGGAAAGUUUUGGCACGCAAAAAAGAUCGAAAGCGGAUUCUCAGGGUGUUUUUGAUGCUUUCUGAACGCCAUUAACCUCGACGCACUUUUUCGCUCGAAACAAAAUGGCAAGAAAAUCAUGUGGGUCCCACGGCCUCACACUUGGAUUGGCUGCGAAAAGGAUAUGUAGAAACGAGAGUGAUGUACUGACGGGUGCGAUCAUACCAGCACUAAUGCACCGGAUCCCAUCAGAACUCCGCAGUUAAGCGUGCUUGGGCGAGAGUAGUACUAGGAUGGGUGACCUCCCGGGAAGUCCUCGUGUUGCACCCCUUUUUAUUUUUUAAUUUUUUUUAAUGCAUCCUAAGACGAGUCUAAACUUGGAAACCUCAUAACUUUUGAACCGUGAGGAACUACGUCGCCCAUAGCACCAUUUCGGAAAGCCCCAGAAACCAUAAUGGGCGGUGAAUAGGCGGCGCCAAUUUUUCGGGCUCAAAUUCAGCCGUUUUGACCCUCAAACGGGCUGCGGAAAGUUUUGGCACGCAAAAAAGAUCGAAAGCGGAUUCUCAGGGUGUUUUUGAUGCUUUCUGAACGCCAUUAACCUCGACGCACUUUUUCGCUCGAAACAAAAUGGCAAGAAAAUCAUGUGGGUCCCACGGCCUCACACUUGGAUUGGCUGCGAAAAGGAUAUGUAGAAGCGAGAGUGAUGUACUGACGGGUGCGAUCAUACCAGCACUAAUGCACCGGAUCCCAUCAGAACUCCGCAGUUAAGCGUGCUAGAGUAGUGGGUGACCUCCCGGGAAGUCCUCGUGUUGCACCCCUUUUUAUUUUUUAAUUUUUUUUAAUGCAUCCUAAGACGAGUCUAAACUUGGAAACCUCAUAACUUUUGAACCGUGAGGAACUACGUCGCCCAUAGCACCAUUUCGGAAAGCCCCAGAAACCAUAAUGGGCGGUGAAUAGGCGGCGCCAAUUUUUCGGGCUCAAAUUCAGCCGUUUUGACCCUCAAACGGGCUGCGGAAAGUUUUGGCACGCAAAAAAGAUCGAAAGCGGAUUCUCAGGGUGUUUUUGAUGCUUUCUGAACGCCAUUAACCUCGACGCACUUUUUCGCUCGAAACAAAAUGGCAAGAAAAUCAUGUGGGUCCCACGGCCUCACACUUGGAUUGGCUGCGAAAAGGAUAUGUAGAAACGAGAGUGAUGUACUGACGGGUGCGAUCAUACCAGCACUAAUGCACCGGAUCCCAUCAGAACUCCGCAGUUAAGCGUGCUUGGGCGAGAGUAGUACUAGGAUGGGUGACCUCCCGGGAAGUCCUCGUGUUGCACCCCUUUUUAUUUUUUAAUUUUUUUUAAUGCAUCCUAAGACGAGUCUAAACUUGGAAACCUCAUAACUUUUGAACCGUGAGGAACUACGUCGCCCAUAGCACCAUUUCGGAAAGCCCCAGAAACCAUAAUGGGCGGUGAAUAGGCGGCGCCAAUUUUUCGGGCUCAAAUUCAGCCGUUUUGACCCUCAAACGGGCUGCGGAAAGUUUUGGCACGCAAAAAAGAUCGAAAGCGGAUUCUCAGGGUGUUUUUGAUGCUUUCUGAACGCCAUUAACCUCGACGCACUUUUUCGCUCGAAACAAAAUGGCAAGAAAAUCAUGUGGGUCCCACGGCCUCACACUUGGAUUGGCUGCGAAAAGGAUAUGUAGAAACGAGAGUGAUGUACUGACGGGUGCGAUCAUACCAGCACUAAUGCACCGGAUCCCAUCAGAACUCCGCAGUUAAGCGUGCUUGGGCGAGAGUAGUACUAGGAUGGGUGACCUCCCGGGAAGUCCUCGUGUUGCACCCCUUUUUAUUUUUUAAUUUUUUUUAAUGCAUCCUAAGACGAGUCUAAACUUGGAAACCUCAUAACUUUUGAACCGUGAGGAACUACGUCGCCCAUAGCACCAUUUCGGAAAGCCCCAGAAACCAUAAUGGGCGGUGAAUAGGCGGCGCCAAUUUUUCGGGCUCAAAUUCAGCCGUUUUGACCCUCAAACGGGCUGCGGAAAGUUUUGGCACGCAAAAAAGAUCGAAAGCGGAUUCUCAGGGUGUUUUUGAUGCUUUCUGAACGCCAUUAACCUCGACGCACUUUUUCGCUCGAAACAAAUUGGCAAGAAAAUCAUGUGGGUCCCACGGCCUCACAGGCUGCGAAAAGGAUAUGUAGAAACGAGAGUGAUGUACUGACGGGUGCGAUCAUACCAGCACUAAUGCACCGGAUCCCAUCAGAACUCCGCAGUUAAGCGUGCUUGGGCGAGAGUAGUACUAGGAUGGGUGACCUCCCGGGAAGUCCUCGUGUUGCACCCCUUUUUAUUUUUUAAUUUUUUUUAAUGCAUCCUAAGACGAGUCUAAACUUGGAAACCUCAUAACUUUUGAACCGUGAGGAACUACGUCGCCCAUAGCACCAUUUCGGAAAGCCCCAGAAACCAUAAUGGGCGGUGAAUAGGCGGCGCCAAUUUUUCGGGCUCAAAUUCAGCCGUUUUGACCCUCAAACGGGCUGCGGAAAGUUUUGGCACGCAAAAAAGAUCGAAAGCGGAUUCUCAGGGUGUUUUUGAUGCUUUCUGAACGCCAUUAACCUCGACGCACUUUUUCGCUCGAAACAAAAUGGCAAGAAAAUCAUGUGGGUCCCACGGCCUCACAGGCUGCGAAAAGGAUAUGUAGAAACGAGAGUGAUGUACUGACGGGUGCGAUCAUACCAGCACUAAUGCACCGGAUCCCAUCAGAACUCCGCAGUUAAGCGUGCUUGGGCGAGAGUAGUACUAGGAUGGGUGACCUCCCGGGAAGUCCUCGUGUUGCACCCCUUUUUAUUUUUUAAUUUUUUUUAAUGCAUCCUAAGACGAGUCUAAACUUGGAAACCUCAUAACUUUUGAACCGUGAGGAACUACGUCGCCCAUAGCACCAUUUCGGAAAGCCCCAGAAACCAUAAUGGGCGGUGAAUAGGCGGCGCCAAUUUUUCGGGCUCAAAUUCAGCCGUUUUGACCCUCAAACGGGCUGCGGAAAGUUUUGGCACGCAAAAAAGAUCGAAAGCGGAUUCUCAGGGUGUUUUUGAUGCUUUCUGAACGCCAUUAACCUCGACGCACUUUUUCGCUCGAAACAAAUUGGCAAGAAAAUCAUGUGGGUCCCACGGCCUCACAGGCUGCGAAAAGGAUAUGUAGAAACGAGAGUGAUGUACUGACGGGUGCGAUCAUACCAGCACUAAUGCACCGGAUCCCAUCAGAACUCCGCAGUUAAGCGUGCUUGGGCGAGAGUAGUACUAGGAUGGGUGACCUCCCGGGAAGUCCUCGUGUUGCACCCCUUUUUAUUUUUUAAUUUUUUUUAAUGCAUCCUAAGACGAGUCUAAACUUGGAAACCUCAUAACUUUUGAACCGUGAGGAACUACGUCGCCCAUAGCACCAUUUCGGAAAGCCCCAGAAACCAUAAUGGGCGGUGAAUAGGCGGCGCCAAUUUUUCGGGCUCAAAUUCAGCCGUUUUGACCCUCAAACGGGCUGCGGAAAGUUUUGGCACGCAAAAAAGAUCGAAAGCGGAUUCUCAGGGUGUUUUUGAUGCUUUCUGAACGCCAUUAACCUCGACGCACUUUUUCGCUCGAAACAAAAUGGCAAGAAAAUCAUGUGGGUCCCACGGCCUCACAGGCUGCGAAAAGGAUAUGUAGAAACGAGAGUGAUGUACUGACGGGUGCGAUCAUACCAGCACUAAUGCACCGGAUCCCAUCAGAACUCCGCAGUUAAGCGUGCUUGGGCGAGAGUAGUACUAGGAUGGGUGACCUCCCGGGAAGUCCUCGUGUUGCACCCCUUUUUAUUUUUUAAUUUUUUUUAAUGCAUCCUAAGACGAGUCUAAACUUGGAAACCUCAUAACUUUUGAACCGUGAGGAACUACGUCGCCCAUAGCACCAUUUCGGAAAGCCCCAGAAACCAUAAUGGGCGGUGAAUAGGCGGCGCCAAUUUUUCGGGCUCAAAUUCAGCCGUUUUGACCCUCAAACGGGCUGCGGAAAGUUUUGGCACGCAAAAAAGAUCGAAAGCGGAUUCUCAGGGUGUUUUUGAUGCUUUCUGAACGCCAUUAACCUCGACGCACUUUUUCGCUCGAAACAAAUGGCAAGAAAAUCAUGUGGGUCCCACGGCCUCACAGGCUGCGAAAAGGAUAUGUAGAAACGAGAGUGAUGUACUGACGGGUGCGAUCAUACCAGCACUAAUGCACCGGAUCCCAUCAGAACUCCGCAGUUAAGCGUGCUUGGGCGAGAGUAGUACUAGGAUGGGUGACCUCCCGGGAAGUCCUCGUGUUGCACCCCUUUUUAUUUUUUAAUUUUUUUUAAUGCAUCCUAAGACGAGUCUAAACUUGGAAACCUCAUAACUUUUGAACCGUGAGGAACUACGUCGCCCAUAGCACCAUUUCGGAAAGCCCCAGAAACCAUAAUGGGCGGUGAAUAGGCGGCGCCAAUUUUUCGGGCUCAAAUUCAGCCGUUUUGACCCUCAAACGGGCUGCGGAAAGUUUUGGCACGCAAAAAAGAUCGAAAGCGGAUUCUCAGGGUGUUUUUGAUGCUUUCUGAACGCCAUUAACCUCGACGCACUUUUUCGCUCGAAACAAAAUGGCAAGAAAAUCAUGUGGGUCCCACGGCCUCACAGGCUGCGAAAAGGAUAUGUAGAAACGAGAGUGAUGUACUGACGGGUGCGAUCAUACCAGCACUAAUGCACCGGAUCCCAUCAGAACUCCGCAGUUAAGCGUGCUUGGGCGAGAGUAGUACUAGGAUGGGUGACCUCCCGGGAAGUCCUCGUGUUGCACCCCUUUUUAUUUUUUAAUUUUUUUUAAUGCAUCCUAAGACGAGUCUAAACUUGGAAACCUCAUAACUUUUGAACCGUGAGGAACUACGUCGCCCAUAGCACCAUUUCGGAAAGCCCCAGAAACCAUAAUGGGCGGUGAAUAGGCGGCGCCAAUUUUUCGGGCUCAAAUUCAGCCGUUUUGACCCUCAAACGGGCUGCGGAAAGUUUUGGCACGCAAAAAAGAUCGAAAGCGGAUUCUCAGGGUGUUUUUGAUGCUUUCUGAACGCCAUUAACCUCGACGCACUUUUUCGCUCGAAACAAAUGGCAAGAAAAUCAUGUGGGUCCCACGGCCUCACAGGCUGCGAAAAGGAUAUGUAGAAACGAGAGUGAUGUACUGACGGGUGCGAUCAUACCAGCACUAAUGCACCGGAUCCCAUCAGAACUCCGCAGUUAAGCGUGCUUGGGCGAGAGUAGUACUAGGAUGGGUGACCUCCCGGGAAGUCCUCGUGUUGCACCCCUUUUUAUUUUUUAAUUUUUUUUAAUGCAUCCUAAGACGAGUCUAAACUUGGAAACCUCAUAACUUUUGAACCGUGAGGAACUACGUCGCCCAUAGCACCAUUUCGGAAAGCCCCAGAAACCAUAAUGGGCGGUGAAUAGGCGGCGCCAAUUUUUCGGGCUCAAAUUCAGCCGUUUUGACCCUCAAACGGGCUGCGGAAAGUUUUGGCACGCAAAAAAGAUCGAAAGCGGAUUCUCAGGGUGUUUUUGAUGCUUUCUGAACGCCAUUAACCUCGACGCACUUUUUCGCUCGAAACAAAUGGCAAGAAAAUCAUGUGGGUCCCACGGCCUCACAGGCUGCGAAAAGGAUAUGUAGAAACGAGAGUGAUGUACUGACGGGUGCGAUCAUACCAGCACUAAUGCACCGGAUCCCAUCAGAACUCCGCAGUUAAGCGUGCUUGGGCGAGAGUAGUACUAGGAUGGGUGACCUCCCGGGAAGUCCUCGUGUUGCACCCCUUUUUAUUUUUUAAUUUUUUUUAAUGCAUCCUAAGACGAGUCUAAACUUGGAAACCUCAUAACUUUUGAACCGUGAGGAACUACGUCGCCCAUAGCACCAUUUCGGAAAGCCCCAGAAACCAUAAUGGGCGGUGAAUAGGCGGCGCCAAUUUUUCGGGCUCAAAUUCAGCCGUUUUGACCCUCAAACGGGCUGCGGAAAGUUUUGGCACGCAAAAAAGAUCGAAAGCGGAUUCUCAGGGUGUUUUUGAUGCUUUCUGAACGCCAUUAACCUCGACGCACUUUUUCGCUCGAAACAAAUGGCAAGAAAAUCAUGUGGGUCCCACGGCCUCACAGGCUGCGAAAAGGAUAUGUAGAAACGAGAGUGAUGUACUGACGGGUGCGAUCAUACCAGCACUAAUGCACCGGAUCCCAUCAGAACUCCGCAGUUAAGCGUGCUUGGGCGAGAGUAGUACUAGGAUGGGUGACCUCCCGGGAAGUCCUCGUGUUGCACCCCUUUUUAUUUUUUAAUUUUUUUUAAUGCAUCCUAAGACGAGUCUAAACUUGGAAACCUCAUAACUUUUGAACCGUGAGGAACUACGUCGCCCAUAGCACCAUUUCGGAAAGCCCCAGAAACCAUAAUGGGCGGUGAAUAGGCGGCGCCAAUUUUUCGGGCUCAAAUUCAGCCGUUUUGACCCUCAAACGGGCUGCGGAAAGUUUUGGCACGCAAAAAAGAUCGAAAGCGGAUUCUCAGGGUGUUUUUGAUGCUUUCUGAACGCCAUUAACCUCGACGCACUUUUUCGCUCGAAACAAAUGGCAAGAAAAUCAUGUGGGUCCCACGGCCUCACAGGCUGCGAAAAGGAUAUGUAGAAACGAGAGUGAUGUACUGACGGGUGCGAUCAUACCAGCACUAAUGCACCGGAUCCCAUCAGAACUCCGCAGUUAAGCGUGCUUGGGCGAGAGUAGUACUAGGAUGGGUGACCUCCCGGGAAGUCCUCGUGUUGCACCCCUUUUUAUUUUUUAAUUUUUUUUAAUGCAUCCUAAGACGAGUCUAAACUUGGAAACCUCAUAACUUUUGAACCGUGAGGAACUACGUCGCCCAUAGCACCAUUUCGGAAAGCCCCAGAAACCAUAAUGGGCGGUGAAUAGGCGGCGCCAAUUUUUCGGGCUCAAAUUCAGCCGUUUUGACCCUCAAACGGGCUGCGGAAAGUUUUGGCACGCAAAAAAGAUCGAAAGCGGAUUCUCAGGGUGUUUUUGAUGCUUUCUGAACGCCAUUAACCUCGACGCACUUUUUCGCUCGAAACAAAUUGGCAAGAAAAUCAUGUGGGUCCCACGGCCUCACAGGCUGCGAAAAGGAUAUGUAGAAACGAGAGUGAUGUACUGACGGGUGCGAUCAUACCAGCACUAAUGCACCGGAUCCCAUCAGAACUCCGCAGUUAAGCGUGCUUGGGCGAGAGUAGUACUAGGAUGGGUGACCUCCCGGGAAGUCCUCGUGUUGCACCCCUUUUUAUUUUUUAAUUUUUUUUAAUGCAUCCUAAGACGAGUCUAAACUUGGAAACCUCAUAACUUUUGAACCGUGAGGAACUACGUCGCCCAUAGCACCAUUUCGGAAAGCCCCAGAAACCAUAAUGGGCGGUGAAUAGGCGGCGCCAAUUUUUCGGGCUCAAAUUCAGCCGUUUUGACCCUCAAACGGGCUGCGGAAAGUUUUGGCACGCAAAAAAGAUCGAAAGCGGAUUCUCAGGGUGUUUUUGAUGCUUUCUGAACGCCAUUAACCUCGACGCACUUUUUCGCUCGAAACAAAAUGGCAAGAAAAUCAUGUGGGUCCCACGGCCUCACAGGCUGCGAAAAGGAUAUGUAGAAACGAGAGUGAUGUACUGACGGGUGCGAUCAUACCAGCACUAAUGCACCGGAUCCCAUCAGAACUCCGCAGUUAAGCGUGCUUGGGCGAGAGUAGUACUAGGAUGGGUGACCUCCCGGGAAGUCCUCGUGUUGCACCCCUUUUUAUUUUUUAAUUUUUUUUAAUGCAUCCUAAGACGAGUCUAAACUUGGAAACCUCAUAACUUUUGAACCGUGAGGAACUACGUCGCCCAUAGCACCAUUUCGGAAAGCCCCAGAAACCAUAAUGGGCGGUGAAUAGGCGGCGCCAAUUUUUCGGGCUCAAAUUCAGCCGUUUUGACCCUCAAACGGGCUGCGGAAAGUUUUGGCACGCAAAAAAGAUCGAAAGCGGAUUCUCAGGGUGUUUUUGAUGCUUUCUGAACGCCAUUAACCUCGACGCACUUUUUCGCUCGAAACAAAUUGGCAAGAAAAUCAUGUGGGUCCCACGGCCUCACAGGAUUGGCUGCGAAAAGGAUAUGUAGAAACGAGAGUGAUGUACUGACGGGUGCGAUCAUACCAGCACUAAUGCACCGGAUCCCAUCAGAACUCCGCAGUUAAGCGUGCUUGGGCGAGAGUAGUACUAGGAUGGGUGACCUCCCGGGAAGUCCUCGUGUUGCACCCCUUUUUAUUUUUUAAUUUUUUUUAAUGCAUCCUAAGACGAGUCUAAACUUGGAAACCUCAUAACUUUUGAACCGUGAGGAACUACGUCGCCCAUAGCACCAUUUCGGAAAGCCCCAGAAACCAUAAUGGGCGGUGAAUAGGCGGCGCCAAUUUUUCGGGCUCAAAUUCAGCCGUUUUGACCCUCAAACGGGCUGCGGAAAGUUUUGGCACGCAAAAAAGAUCGAAAGCGGAUUCUCAGGGUGUUUUUGAUGCUUUCUGAACGCCAUUAACCUCGACGCACUUUUUCGCUCGAAACAAAAUGGCAAGAAAAUCAUGUGGGUCCCACGGCCUCACAGGCUGCGAAAAGGAUAUGUAGAAACGAGAGUGAUGUACUGACGGGUGCGAUCAUACCAGCACUAAUGCACCGGAUCCCAUCAGAACUCCGCAGUUAAGCGUGCUUGGGCGAGAGUAGUACUAGGAUGGGUGACCUCCCGGGAAGUCCUCGUGUUGCACCCCUUUUUAUUUUUUAAUUUUUUUUAAUGCAUCCUAAGACGAGUCUAAACUUGGAAACCUCAUAACUUUUGAACCGUGAGGAACUACGUCGCCCAUAGCACCAUUUCGGAAAGCCCCAGAAACCAUAAUGGGCGGUGAAUAGGCGGCGCCAAUUUUUCGGGCUCAAAUUCAGCCGUUUUGACCCUCAAACGGGCUGCGGAAAGUUUUGGCACGCAAAAAAGAUCGAAAGCGGAUUCUCAGGGUGUUUUUGAUGCUUUCUGAACGCCAUUAACCUCGACGCACUUUUUCGCUCGAAACAAAUGGCAAGAAAAUCAUGUGGGUCCCACGGCCUCACAGGCUGCGAAAAGGAUAUGUAGAAACGAGAGUGAUGUACUGACGGGUGCGAUCAUACCAGCACUAAUGCACCGGAUCCCAUCAGAACUCCGCAGUUAAGCGUGCUUGGGCGAGAGUAGUACUAGGAUGGGUGACCUCCCGGGAAGUCCUCGUGUUGCACCCCUUUUUAUUUUUUAAUUUUUUUUAAUGCAUCCUAAGACGAGUCUAAACUUGGAAACCUCAUAACUUUUGAACCGUGAGGAACUACGUCGCCCAUAGCACCAUUUCGGAAAGCCCCAGAAACCAUAAUGGGCGGUGAAUAGGCGGCGCCAAUUUUUCGGGCUCAAAUUCAGCCGUUUUGACCCUCAAACGGGCUGCGGAAAGUUUUGGCACGCAAAAAAGAUCGAAAGCGGAUUCUCAGGGUGUUUUUGAUGCUUUCUGAACGCCAUUAACCUCGACGCACUUUUUCGCUCGAAACAAAUGGCAAGAAAAUCAUGUGGGUCCCACGGCCUCACAGGCUGCGAAAAGGAUAUGUAGAAACGAGAGUGAUGUACUGACGGGUGCGAUCAUACCAGCACUAAUGCACCGGAUCCCAUCAGAACUCCGCAGUUAAGCGUGCUUGGGCGAGAGUAGUACUAGGAUGGGUGACCUCCCGGGAAGUCCUCGUGUUGCACCCCUUUUUAUUUUUUAAUUUUUUUUAAUGCAUCCUAAGACGAGUCUAAACUUGGAAACCUCAUAACUUUUGAACCGUGAGGAACUACGUCGCCCAUAGCACCAUUUCGGAAAGCCCCAGAAACCAUAAUGGGCGGUGAAUAGGCGGCGCCAAUUUUUCGGGCUCAAAUUCAGCCGUUUUGACCCUCAAACGGGCUGCGGAAAGUUUUGGCACGCAAAAAAGAUCGAAAGCGGAUUCUCAGGGUGUUUUUGAUGCUUUCUGAACGCCAUUAACCUCGACGCACUUUUUCGCUCGAAACAAAUUGGCAAGAAAAUCAUGUGGGUCCCACGGCCUCACAGGCUGCGAAAAGGAUAUGUAGAAACGAGAGUGAUGUACUGACGGGUGCGAUCAUACCAGCACUAAUGCACCGGAUCCCAUCAGAACUCCGCAGUUAAGCGUGCUUGGGCGAGAGUAGUACUAGGAUGGGUGACCUCCCGGGAAGUCCUCGUGUUGCACCCCUUUUUAUUUUUUAAUUUUUUUUAAUGCAUCCUAAGACGAGUCUAAACUUGGAAACCUCAUAACUUUUGAACCGUGAGGAACUACGUCGCCCAUAGCACCAUUUCGGAAAGCCCCAGAAACCAUAAUGGGCGGUGAAUAGGCGGCGCCAAUUUUUCGGGCUCAAAUUCAGCCGUUUUGACCCUCAAACGGGCUGCGGAAAGUUUUGGCACGCAAAAAAGAUCGAAAGCGGAUUCUCAGGGUGUUUUUGAUGCUUUCUGAACGCCAUUAACCUCGACGCACUUUUUCGCUCGAAACAAAUUGGCAAGAAAAUCAUGUGGGUCCCACGGCCUCACAGGCUGCGAAAAGGAUAUGUAGAAACGAGAGUGAUGUACUGACGGGUGCGAUCAUACCAGCACUAAUGCACCGGAUCCCAUCAGAACUCCGCAGUUAAGCGUGCUUGGGCGAGAGUAGUACUAGGAUGGGUGACCUCCCGGGAAGUCCUCGUGUUGCACCCCUUUUUAUUUUUUAAUUUUUUUUAAUGCAUCCUAAGACGAGUCUAAACUUGGAAACCUCAUAACUUUUGAACCGUGAGGAACUACGUCGCCCAUAGCACCAUUUCGGAAAGCCCCAGAAACCAUAAUGGGCGGUGAAUAGGCGGCGCCAAUUUUUCGGGCUCAAAUUCAGCCGUUUUGACCCUCAAACGGGCUGCGGAAAGUUUUGGCACGCAAAAAAGAUCGAAAGCGGAUUCUCAGGGUGUUUUUGAUGCUUUCUGAACGCCAUUAACCUCGACGCACUUUUUCGCUCGAAACAAAUUGGCAAGAAAAUCAUGUGGGUCCCACGGCCUCACAGGCUGCGAAAAGGAUAUGUAGAAACGAGAGUGAUGUACUGACGGGUGCGAUCAUACCAGCACUAAUGCACCGGAUCCCAUCAGAACUCCGCAGUUAAGCGUGCUUGGGCGAGAGUAGUACUAGGAUGGGUGACCUCCCGGGAAGUCCUCGUGUUGCACCCCUUUUUAUUUUUUAAUUUUUUUUAAUGCAUCCUAAGACGAGUCUAAACUUGGAAACCUCAUAACUUUUGAACCGUGAGGAACUACGUCGCCCAUAGCACCAUUUCGGAAAGCCCCAGAAACCAUAAUGGGCGGUGAAUAGGCGGCGCCAAUUUUUCGGGCUCAAAUUCAGCCGUUUUGACCCUCAAACGGGCUGCGGAAAGUUUUGGCACGCAAAAAAGAUCGAAAGCGGAUUCUCAGGGUGUUUUUGAUGCUUUCUGAACGCCAUUAACCUCGACGCACUUUUUCGCUCGAAACAAAUUGGCAAGAAAAUCAUGUGGGUCCCACGGCCUCACAGGCUGCGAAAAGGAUAUGUAGAAACGAGAGUGAUGUACUGACGGGUGCGAUCAUACCAGCACUAAUGCACCGGAUCCCAUCAGAACUCCGCAGUUAAGCGUGCUUGGGCGAGAGUAGUACUAGGAUGGGUGACCUCCCGGGAAGUCCUCGUGUUGCACCCCUUUUUAUUUUUUAAUUUUUUUUAAUGCAUCCUAAGACGAGUCUAAACUUGGAAACCUCAUAACUUUUGAACCGUGAGGAACUACGUCGCCCAUAGCACCAUUUCGGAAAGCCCCAGAAACCAUAAUGGGCGGUGAAUAGGCGGCGCCAAUUUUUCGGGCUCAAAUUCAGCCGUUUUGACCCUCAAACGGGCUGCGGAAAGUUUUGGCACGCAAAAAAGAUCGAAAGCGGAUUCUCAGGGUGUUUUUGAUGCUUUCUGAACGCCAUUAACCUCGACGCACUUUUUCGCUCGAAACAAAUUGGCAAGAAAAUCAUGUGGGUCCCACGGCCUCACAGGCUGCGAAAAGGAUAUGUAGAAACGAGAGUGAUGUACUGACGGGUGCGAUCAUACCAGCACUAAUGCACCGGAUCCCAUCAGAACUCCGCAGUUAAGCGUGCUUGGGCGAGAGUAGUACUAGGAUGGGUGACCUCCCGGGAAGUCCUCGUGUUGCACCCCUUUUUAUUUUUUAAUUUUUUUUAAUGCAUCCUAAGACGAGUCUAAACUUGGAAACCUCAUAACUUUUGAACCGUGAGGAACUACGUCGCCCAUAGCACCAUUUCGGAAAGCCCCAGAAACCAUAAUGGGCGGUGAAUAGGCGGCGCCAAUUUUUCGGGCUCAAAUUCAGCCGUUUUGACCCUCAAACGGGCUGCGGAAAGUUUUGGCACGCAAAAAAGAUCGAAAGCGGAUUCUCAGGGUGUUUUUGAUGCUUUCUGAACGCCAUUAACCUCGACGCACUUUUUCGCUCGAAACAAAUUGGCAAGAAAAUCAUGUGGGUCCCACGGCCUCACAGGCUGCGAAAAGGAUAUGUAGAAACGAGAGUGAUGUACUGACGGGUGCGAUCAUACCAGCACUAAUGCACCGGAUCCCAUCAGAACUCCGCAGUUAAGCGUGCUUGGGCGAGAGUAGUACUAGGAUGGGUGACCUCCCGGGAAGUCCUCGUGUUGCACCCCUUUUUAUUUUUUAAUUUUUUUUAAUGCAUCCUAAGACGAGUCUAAACUUGGAAACCUCAUAACUUUUGAACCGUGAGGAACUACGUCGCCCAUAGCACCAUUUCGGAAAGCCCCAGAAACCAUAAUGGGCGGUGAAUAGGCGGCGCCAAUUUUUCGGGCUCAAAUUCAGCCGUUUUGACCCUCAAACGGGCUGCGGAAAGUUUUGGCACGCAAAAAAGAUCGAAAGCGGAUUCUCAGGGUGUUUUUGAUGCUUUCUGAACGCCAUUAACCUCGACGCACUUUUUCGCUCGAAACAAAUUGGCAAGAAAAUCAUGUGGGUCCCACGGCCUCACAGGCUGCGAAAAGGAUAUGUAGAAACGAGAGUGAUGUACUGACGGGUGCGAUCAUACCAGCACUAAUGCACCGGAUCCCAUCAGAACUCCGCAGUUAAGCGUGCUUGGGCGAGAGUAGUACUAGGAUGGGUGACCUCCCGGGAAGUCCUCGUGUUGCACCCCUUUUUAUUUUUUAAUUUUUUUUAAUGCAUCCUAAGACGAGUCUAAACUUGGAAACCUCAUAACUUUUGAACCGUGAGGAACUACGUCGCCCAUAGCACCAUUUCGGAAAGCCCCAGAAACCAUAAUGGGCGGUGAAUAGGCGGCGCCAAUUUUUCGGGCUCAAAUUCAGCCGUUUUGACCCUCAAACGGGCUGCGGAAAGUUUUGGCACGCAAAAAAGAUCGAAAGCGGAUUCUCAGGGUGUUUUUGAUGCUUUCUGAACGCCAUUAACCUCGACGCACUUUUUCGCUCGAAACAAAUUGGCAAGAAAAUCAUGUGGGUCCCACGGCCUCACAGGCUGCGAAAAGGAUAUGUAGAAACGAGAGUGAUGUACUGACGGGUGCGAUCAUACCAGCACUAAUGCACCGGAUCCCAUCAGAACUCCGCAGUUAAGCGUGCUUGGGCGAGAGUAGUACUAGGAUGGGUGACCUCCCGGGAAGUCCUCGUGUUGCACCCCUUUUUAUUUUUUAAUUUUUUUUAAUGCAUCCUAAGACGAGUCUAAACUUGGAAACCUCAUAACUUUUGAACCGUGAGGAACUACGUCGCCCAUAGCACCAUUUCGGAAAGCCCCAGAAACCAUAAUGGGCGGUGAAUAGGCGGCGCCAAUUUUUCGGGCUCAAAUUCAGCCGUUUUGACCCUCAAACGGGCUGCGGAAAGUUUUGGCACGCAAAAAAGAUCGAAAGCGGAUUCUCAGGGUGUUUUUGAUGCUUUCUGAACGCCAUUAACCUCGACGCACUUUUUCGCUCGAAACAAAUUGGCAAGAAAAUCAUGUGGGUCCCACGGCCUCACAGGCUGCGAAAAGGAUAUGUAGAAACGAGAGUGAUGUACUGACGGGUGCGAUCAUACCAGCACUAAUGCACCGGAUCCCAUCAGAACUCCGCAGUUAAGCGUGCUUGGGCGAGAGUAGUACUAGGAUGGGUGACCUCCCGGGAAGUCCUCGUGUUGCACCCCUUUUUAUUUUUUAAUUUUUUUUAAUGCAUCCUAAGACGAGUCUAAACUUGGAAACCUCAUAACUUUUGAACCGUGAGGAACUACGUCGCCCAUAGCACCAUUUCGGAAAGCCCCAGAAACCAUAAUGGGCGGUGAAUAGGCGGCGCCAAUUUUUCGGGCUCAAAUUCAGCCGUUUUGACCCUCAAACGGGCUGCGGAAAGUUUUGGCACGCAAAAAAGAUCGAAAGCGGAUUCUCAGGGUGUUUUUGAUGCUUUCUGAACGCCAUUAACCUCGACGCACUUUUUCGCUCGAAACAAAUUGGCAAGAAAAUCAUGUGGGUCCCACGGCCUCACAGGCUGCGAAAAGGAUAUGUAGAAACGAGAGUGAUGUACUGACGGGUGCGAUCAUACCAGCACUAAUGCACCGGAUCCCAUCAGAACUCCGCAGUUAAGCGUGCUUGGGCGAGAGUAGUACUAGGAUGGGUGACCUCCCGGGAAGUCCUCGUGUUGCACCCCUUUUUAUUUUUUAAUUUUUUUUAAUGCAUCCUAAGACGAGUCUAAACUUGGAAACCUCAUAACUUUUGAACCGUGAGGAACUACGUCGCCCAUAGCACCAUUUCGGAAAGCCCCAGAAACCAUAAUGGGCGGUGAAUAGGCGGCGCCAAUUUUUCGGGCUCAAAUUCAGCCGUUUUGACCCUCAAACGGGCUGCGGAAAGUUUUGGCACGCAAAAAAGAUCGAAAGCGGAUUCUCAGGGUGUUUUUGAUGCUUUCUGAACGCCAUUAACCUCGACGCACUUUUUCGCUCGAAACAAAUUGGCAAGAAAAUCAUGUGGGUCCCACGGCCUCACAGGCUGCGAAAAGGAUAUGUAGAAACGAGAGUGAUGUACUGACGGGUGCGAUCAUACCAGCACUAAUGCACCGGAUCCCAUCAGAACUCCGCAGUUAAGCGUGCUUGGGCGAGAGUAGUACUAGGAUGGGUGACCUCCCGGGAAGUCCUCGUGUUGCACCCCUUUUUAUUUUUUAAUUUUUUUUAAUGCAUCCUAAGACGAGUCUAAACUUGGAAACCUCAUAACUUUUGAACCGUGAGGAACUACGUCGCCCAUAGCACCAUUUCGGAAAGCCCCAGAAACCAUAAUGGGCGGUGAAUAGGCGGCGCCAAUUUUUCGGGCUCAAAUUCAGCCGUUUUGACCCUCAAACGGGCUGCGGAAAGUUUUGGCACGCAAAAAAGAUCGAAAGCGGAUUCUCAGGGUGUUUUUGAUGCUUUCUGAACGCCAUUAACCUCGACGCACUUUUUCGCUCGAAACAAAUUGGCAAGAAAAUCAUGUGGGUCCCACGGCCUCACAGGCUGCGAAAAGGAUAUGUAGAAACGAGAGUGAUGUACUGACGGGUGCGAUCAUACCAGCACUAAUGCACCGGAUCCCAUCAGAACUCCGCAGUUAAGCGUGCUUGGGCGAGAGUAGUACUAGGAUGGGUGACCUCCCGGGAAGUCCUCGUGUUGCACCCCUUUUUAUUUUUUAAUUUUUUUUAAUGCAUCCUAAGACGAGUCUAAACUUGGAAACCUCAUAACUUUUGAACCGUGAGGAACUACGUCGCCCAUAGCACCAUUUCGGAAAGCCCCAGAAACCAUAAUGGGCGGUGAAUAGGCGGCGCCAAUUUUUCGGGCUCAAAUUCAGCCGUUUUGACCCUCAAACGGGCUGCGGAAAGUUUUGGCACGCAAAAAAGAUCGAAAGCGGAUUCUCAGGGUGUUUUUGAUGCUUUCUGAACGCCAUUAACCUCGACGCACUUUUUCGCUCGAAACAAAUUGGCAAGAAAAUCAUGUGGGUCCCACGGCCUCACAGGCUGCGAAAAGGAUAUGUAGAAACGAGAGUGAUGUACUGACGGGUGCGAUCAUACCAGCACUAAUGCACCGGAUCCCAUCAGAACUCCGCAGUUAAGCGUGCUUGGGCGAGAGUAGUACUAGGAUGGGUGACCUCCCGGGAAGUCCUCGUGUUGCACCCCUUUUUAUUUUUUAAUUUUUUUUAAUGCAUCCUAAGACGAGUCUAAACUUGGAAACCUCAUAACUUUUGAACCGUGAGGAACUACGUCGCCCAUAGCACCAUUUCGGAAAGCCCCAGAAACCAUAAUGGGCGGUGAAUAGGCGGCGCCAAUUUUUCGGGCUCAAAUUCAGCCGUUUUGACCCUCAAACGGGCUGCGGAAAGUUUUGGCACGCAAAAAAGAUCGAAAGCGGAUUCUCAGGGUGUUUUUGAUGCUUUCUGAACGCCAUUAACCUCGACGCACUUUUUCGCUCGAAACAAAUUGGCAAGAAAAUCAUGUGGGUCCCACGGCCUCACAGGCUGCGAAAAGGAUAUGUAGAAACGAGAGUGAUGUACUGACGGGUGCGAUCAUACCAGCACUAAUGCACCGGAUCCCAUCAGAACUCCGCAGUUAAGCGUGCUUGGGCGAGAGUAGUACUAGGAUGGGUGACCUCCCGGGAAGUCCUCGUGUUGCACCCCUUUUUAUUUUUUAAUUUUUUUUAAUGCAUCCUAAGACGAGUCUAAACUUGGAAACCUCAUAACUUUUGAACCGUGAGGAACUACGUCGCCCAUAGCACCAUUUCGGAAAGCCCCAGAAACCAUAAUGGGCGGUGAAUAGGCGGCGCCAAUUUUUCGGGCUCAAAUUCAGCCGUUUUGACCCUCAAACGGGCUGCGGAAAGUUUUGGCACGCAAAAAAGAUCGAAAGCGGAUUCUCAGGGUGUUUUUGAUGCUUUCUGAACGCCAUUAACCUCGACGCACUUUUUCGCUCGAAACAAAUUGGCAAGAAAAUCAUGUGGGUCCCACGGCCUCACAGGCUGCGAAAAGGAUAUGUAGAAACGAGAGUGAUGUACUGACGGGUGCGAUCAUACCAGCACUAAUGCACCGGAUCCCAUCAGAACUCCGCAGUUAAGCGUGCUUGGGCGAGAGUAGUACUAGGAUGGGUGACCUCCCGGGAAGUCCUCGUGUUGCACCCCUUUUUAUUUUUUAAUUUUUUUUAAUGCAUCCUAAGACGAGUCUAAACUUGGAAACCUCAUAACUUUUGAACCGUGAGGAACUACGUCGCCCAUAGCACCAUUUCGGAAAGCCCCAGAAACCAUAAUGGGCGGUGAAUAGGCGGCGCCAAUUUUUCGGGCUCAAAUUCAGCCGUUUUGACCCUCAAACGGGCUGCGGAAAGUUUUGGCACGCAAAAAAGAUCGAAAGCGGAUUCUCAGGGUGUUUUUGAUGCUUUCUGAACGCCAUUAACCUCGACGCACUUUUUCGCUCGAAACAAAUUGGCAAGAAAAUCAUGUGGGUCCCACGGCCUCACAGGCUGCGAAAAGGAUAUGUAGAAACGAGAGUGAUGUACUGACGGGUGCGAUCAUACCAGCACUAAUGCACCGGAUCCCAUCAGAACUCCGCAGUUAAGCGUGCUUGGGCGAGAGUAGUACUAGGAUGGGUGACCUCCCGGGAAGUCCUCGUGUUGCACCCCUUUUUAUUUUUUAAUUUUUUUUAAUGCAUCCUAAGACGAGUCUAAACUUGGAAACCUCAUAACUUUUGAACCGUGAGGAACUACGUCGCCCAUAGCACCAUUUCGGAAAGCCCCAGAAACCAUAAUGGGCGGUGAAUAGGCGGCGCCAAUUUUUCGGGCUCAAAUUCAGCCGUUUUGACCCUCAAACGGGCUGCGGAAAGUUUUGGCACGCAAAAAAGAUCGAAAGCGGAUUCUCAGGGUGUUUUUGAUGCUUUCUGAACGCCAUUAACCUCGACGCACUUUUUCGCUCGAAACAAAUUGGCAAGAAAAUCAUGUGGGUCCCACGGCCUCACAGGCUGCGAAAAGGAUAUGUAGAAACGAGAGUGAUGUACUGACGGGUGCGAUCAUACCAGCACUAAUGCACCGGAUCCCAUCAGAACUCCGCAGUUAAGCGUGCUUGGGCGAGAGUAGUACUAGGAUGGGUGACCUCCCGGGAAGUCCUCGUGUUGCACCCCUUUUUAUUUUUUAAUUUUUUUUAAUGCAUCCUAAGACGAGUCUAAACUUGGAAACCUCAUAACUUUUGAACCGUGAGGAACUACGUCGCCCAUAGCACCAUUUCGGAAAGCCCCAGAAACCAUAAUGGGCGGUGAAUAGGCGGCGCCAAUUUUUCGGGCUCAAAUUCAGCCGUUUUGACCCUCAAACGGGCUGCGGAAAGUUUUGGCACGCAAAAAAGAUCGAAAGCGGAUUCUCAGGGUGUUUUUGAUGCUUUCUGAACGCCAUUAACCUCGACGCACUUUUUCGCUCGAAACAAAUUGGCAAGAAAAUCAUGUGGGUCCCACGGCCUCACAGGCUGCGAAAAGGAUAUGUAGAAACGAGAGUGAUGUACUGACGGGUGCGAUCAUACCAGCACUAAUGCACCGGAUCCCAUCAGAACUCCGCAGUUAAGCGUGCUUGGGCGAGAGUAGUACUAGGAUGGGUGACCUCCCGGGAAGUCCUCGUGUUGCACCCCUUUUUAUUUUUUAAUUUUUUUUAAUGCAUCCUAAGACGAGUCUAAACUUGGAAACCUCAUAACUUUUGAACCGUGAGGAACUACGUCGCCCAUAGCACCAUUUCGGAAAGCCCCAGAAACCAUAAUGGGCGGUGAAUAGGCGGCGCCAAUUUUUCGGGCUCAAAUUCAGCCGUUUUGACCCUCAAACGGGCUGCGGAAAGUUUUGGCACGCAAAAAAGAUCGAAAGCGGAUUCUCAGGGUGUUUUUGAUGCUUUCUGAACGCCAUUAACCUCGACGCACUUUUUCGCUCGAAACAAAUUGGCAAGAAAAUCAUGUGGGUCCCACGGCCUCACAGGCUGCGAAAAGGAUAUGUAGAAACGAGAGUGAUGUACUGACGGGUGCGAUCAUACCAGCACUAAUGCACCGGAUCCCAUCAGAACUCCGCAGUUAAGCGUGCUUGGGCGAGAGUAGUACUAGGAUGGGUGACCUCCCGGGAAGUCCUCGUGUUGCACCCCUUUUUAUUUUUUAAUUUUUUUUAAUGCAUCCUAAGACGAGUCUAAACUUGGAAACCUCAUAACUUUUGAACCGUGAGGAACUACGUCGCCCAUAGCACCAUUUCGGAAAGCCCCAGAAACCAUAAUGGGCGGUGAAUAGGCGGCGCCAAUUUUUCGGGCUCAAAUUCAGCCGUUUUGACCCUCAAACGGGCUGCGGAAAGUUUUGGCACGCAAAAAAGAUCGAAAGCGGAUUCUCAGGGUGUUUUUGAUGCUUUCUGAACGCCAUUAACCUCGACGCACUUUUUCGCUCGAAACAAAUUGGCAAGAAAAUCAUGUGGGUCCCACGGCCUCACAGGCUGCGAAAAGGAUAUGUAGAAACGAGAGUGAUGUACUGACGGGUGCGAUCAUACCAGCACUAAUGCACCGGAUCCCAUCAGAACUCCGCAGUUAAGCGUGCUUGGGCGAGAGUAGUACUAGGAUGGGUGACCUCCCGGGAAGUCCUCGUGUUGCACCCCUUUUUAUUUUUUAAUUUUUUUUAAUGCAUCCUAAGACGAGUCUAAACUUGGAAACCUCAUAACUUUUGAACCGUGAGGAACUACGUCGCCCAUAGCACCAUUUCGGAAAGCCCCAGAAACCAUAAUGGGCGGUGAAUAGGCGGCGCCAAUUUUUCGGGCUCAAAUUCAGCCGUUUUGACCCUCAAACGGGCUGCGGAAAGUUUUGGCACGCAAAAAAGAUCGAAAGCGGAUUCUCAGGGUGUUUUUGAUGCUUUCUGAACGCCAUUAACCUCGACGCACUUUUUCGCUCGAAACAAAUUGGCAAGAAAAUCAUGUGGGUCCCACGGCCUCACAGGCUGCGAAAAGGAUAUGUAGAAACGAGAGUGAUGUACUGACGGGUGCGAUCAUACCAGCACUAAUGCACCGGAUCCCAUCAGAACUCCGCAGUUAAGCGUGCUUGGGCGAGAGUAGUACUAGGAUGGGUGACCUCCCGGGAAGUCCUCGUGUUGCACCCCUUUUUAUUUUUUAAUUUUUUUUAAUGCAUCCUAAGACGAGUCUAAACUUGGAAACCUCAUAACUUUUGAACCGUGAGGAACUACGUCGCCCAUAGCACCAUUUCGGAAAGCCCCAGAAACCAUAAUGGGCGGUGAAUAGGCGGCGCCAAUUUUUCGGGCUCAAAUUCAGCCGUUUUGACCCUCAAACGGGCUGCGGAAAGUUUUGGCACGCAAAAAAGAUCGAAAGCGGAUUCUCAGGGUGUUUUUGAUGCUUUCUGAACGCCAUUAACCUCGACGCACUUUUUCGCUCGAAACAAAUUGGCAAGAAAAUCAUGUGGGUCCCACGGCCUCACAGGCUGCGAAAAGGAUAUGUAGAAACGAGAGUGAUGUACUGACGGGUGCGAUCAUACCAGCACUAAUGCACCGGAUCCCAUCAGAACUCCGCAGUUAAGCGUGCUUGGGCGAGAGUAGUACUAGGAUGGGUGACCUCCCGGGAAGUCCUCGUGUUGCACCCCUUUUUAUUUUUUAAUUUUUUUUAAUGCAUCCUAAGACGAGUCUAAACUUGGAAACCUCAUAACUUUUGAACCGUGAGGAACUACGUCGCCCAUAGCACCAUUUCGGAAAGCCCCAGAAACCAUAAUGGGCGGUGAAUAGGCGGCGCCAAUUUUUCGGGCUCAAAUUCAGCCGUUUUGACCCUCAAACGGGCUGCGGAAAGUUUUGGCACGCAAAAAAGAUCGAAAGCGGAUUCUCAGGGUGUUUUUGAUGCUUUCUGAACGCCAUUAACCUCGACGCACUUUUUCGCUCGAAACAAAUUGGCAAGAAAAUCAUGUGGGUCCCACGGCCUCACAGGCUGCGAAAAGGAUAUGUAGAAACGAGAGUGAUGUACUGACGGGUGCGAUCAUACCAGCACUAAUGCACCGGAUCCCAUCAGAACUCCGCAGUUAAGCGUGCUUGGGCGAGAGUAGUACUAGGAUGGGUGACCUCCCGGGAAGUCCUCGUGUUGCACCCCUUUUUAUUUUUUAAUUUUUUUUAAUGCAUCCUAAGACGAGUCUAAACUUGGAAACCUCAUAACUUUUGAACCGUGAGGAACUACGUCGCCCAUAGCACCAUUUCGGAAAGCCCCAGAAACCAUAAUGGGCGGUGAAUAGGCGGCGCCAAUUUUUCGGGCUCAAAUUCAGCCGUUUUGACCCUCAAACGGGCUGCGGAAAGUUUUGGCACGCAAAAAAGAUCGAAAGCGGAUUCUCAGGGUGUUUUUGAUGCUUUCUGAACGCCAUUAACCUCGACGCACUUUUUCGCUCGAAACAAAUUGGCAAGAAAAUCAUGUGGGUCCCACGGCCUCACAGGCUGCGAAAAGGAUAUGUAGAAACGAGAGUGAUGUACUGACGGGUGCGAUCAUACCAGCACUAAUGCACCGGAUCCCAUCAGAACUCCGCAGUUAAGCGUGCUUGGGCGAGAGUAGUACUAGGAUGGGUGACCUCCCGGGAAGUCCUCGUGUUGCACCCCUUUUUAUUUUUUAAUUUUUUUUAAUGCAUCCUAAGACGAGUCUAAACUUGGAAACCUCAUAACUUUUGAACCGUGAGGAACUACGUCGCCCAUAGCACCAUUUCGGAAAGCCCCAGAAACCAUAAUGGGCGGUGAAUAGGCGGCGCCAAUUUUUCGGGCUCAAAUUCAGCCGUUUUGACCCUCAAACGGGCUGCGGAAAGUUUUGGCACGCAAAAAAGAUCGAAAGCGGAUUCUCAGGGUGUUUUUGAUGCUUUCUGAACGCCAUUAACCUCGACGCACUUUUUCGCUCGAAACAAAUUGGCAAGAAAAUCAUGUGGGUCCCACGGCCUCACAGGCUGCGAAAAGGAUAUGUAGAAACGAGAGUGAUGUACUGACGGGUGCGAUCAUACCAGCACUAAUGCACCGGAUCCCAUCAGAACUCCGCAGUUAAGCGUGCUUGGGCGAGAGUAGUACUAGGAUGGGUGACCUCCCGGGAAGUCCUCGUGUUGCACCCCUUUUUAUUUUUUAAUUUUUUUUAAUGCAUCCUAAGACGAGUCUAAACUUGGAAACCUCAUAACUUUUGAACCGUGAGGAACUACGUCGCCCAUAGCACCAUUUCGGAAAGCCCCAGAAACCAUAAUGGGCGGUGAAUAGGCGGCGCCAAUUUUUCGGGCUCAAAUUCAGCCGUUUUGACCCUCAAACGGGCUGCGGAAAGUUUUGGCACGCAAAAAAGAUCGAAAGCGGAUUCUCAGGGUGUUUUUGAUGCUUUCUGAACGCCAUUAACCUCGACGCACUUUUUCGCUCGAAACAAAUUGGCAAGAAAAUCAUGUGGGUCCCACGGCCUCACAGGCUGCGAAAAGGAUAUGUAGAAACGAGAGUGAUGUACUGACGGGUGCGAUCAUACCAGCACUAAUGCACCGGAUCCCAUCAGAACUCCGCAGUUAAGCGUGCUUGGGCGAGAGUAGUACUAGGAUGGGUGACCUCCCGGGAAGUCCUCGUGUUGCACCCCUUUUUAUUUUUUAAUUUUUUUUAAUGCAUCCUAAGACGAGUCUAAACUUGGAAACCUCAUAACUUUUGAACCGUGAGGAACUACGUCGCCCAUAGCACCAUUUCGGAAAGCCCCAGAAACCAUAAUGGGCGGUGAAUAGGCGGCGCCAAUUUUUCGGGCUCAAAUUCAGCCGUUUUGACCCUCAAACGGGCUGCGGAAAGUUUUGGCACGCAAAAAAGAUCGAAAGCGGAUUCUCAGGGUGUUUUUGAUGCUUUCUGAACGCCAUUAACCUCGACGCACUUUUUCGCUCGAAACAAAUUGGCAAGAAAAUCAUGUGGGUCCCACGGCCUCACAGGCUGCGAAAAGGAUAUGUAGAAACGAGAGUGAUGUACUGACGGGUGCGAUCAUACCAGCACUAAUGCACCGGAUCCCAUCAGAACUCCGCAGUUAAGCGUGCUUGGGCGAGAGUAGUACUAGGAUGGGUGACCUCCCGGGAAGUCCUCGUGUUGCACCCCUUUUUAUUUUUUAAUUUUUUUUAAUGCAUCCUAAGACGAGUCUAAACUUGGAAACCUCAUAACUUUUGAACCGUGAGGAACUACGUCGCCCAUAGCACCAUUUCGGAAAGCCCCAGAAACCAUAAUGGGCGGUGAAUAGGCGGCGCCAAUUUUUCGGGCUCAAAUUCAGCCGUUUUGACCCUCAAACGGGCUGCGGAAAGUUUUGGCACGCAAAAAAGAUCGAAAGCGGAUUCUCAGGGUGUUUUUGAUGCUUUCUGAACGCCAUUAACCUCGACGCACUUUUUCGCUCGAAACAAAUUGGCAAGAAAAUCAUGUGGGUCCCACGGCCUCACAGGCUGCGAAAAGGAUAUGUAGAAACGAGAGUGAUGUACUGACGGGUGCGAUCAUACCAGCACUAAUGCACCGGAUCCCAUCAGAACUCCGCAGUUAAGCGUGCUUGGGCGAGAGUAGUACUAGGAUGGGUGACCUCCCGGGAAGUCCUCGUGUUGCACCCCUUUUUAUUUUUUAAUUUUUUUUAAUGCAUCCUAAGACGAGUCUAAACUUGGAAACCUCAUAACUUUUGAACCGUGAGGAACUACGUCGCCCAUAGCACCAUUUCGGAAAGCCCCAGAAACCAUAAUGGGCGGUGAAUAGGCGGCGCCAAUUUUUCGGGCUCAAAUUCAGCCGUUUUGACCCUCAAACGGGCUGCGGAAAGUUUUGGCACGCAAAAAAGAUCGAAAGCGGAUUCUCAGGGUGUUUUUGAUGCUUUCUGAACGCCAUUAACCUCGACGCACUUUUUCGCUCGAAACAAAUUGGCAAGAAAAUCAUGUGGGUCCCACGGCCUCACAGGCUGCGAAAAGGAUAUGUAGAAACGAGAGUGAUGUACUGACGGGUGCGAUCAUACCAGCACUAAUGCACCGGAUCCCAUCAGAACUCCGCAGUUAAGCGUGCUUGGGCGAGAGUAGUACUAGGAUGGGUGACCUCCCGGGAAGUCCUCGUGUUGCACCCCUUUUUAUUUUUUAAUUUUUUUUAAUGCAUCCUAAGACGAGUCUAAACUUGGAAACCUCAUAACUUUUGAACCGUGAGGAACUACGUCGCCCAUAGCACCAUUUCGGAAAGCCCCAGAAACCAUAAUGGGCGGUGAAUAGGCGGCGCCAAUUUUUCGGGCUCAAAUUCAGCCGUUUUGACCCUCAAACGGGCUGCGGAAAGUUUUGGCACGCAAAAAAGAUCGAAAGCGGAUUCUCAGGGUGUUUUUGAUGCUUUCUGAACGCCAUUAACCUCGACGCACUUUUUCGCUCGAAACAAAUUGGCAAGAAAAUCAUGUGGGUCCCACGGCCUCACAGGCUGCGAAAAGGAUAUGUAGAAACGAGAGUGAUGUACUGACGGGUGCGAUCAUACCAGCACUAAUGCACCGGAUCCCAUCAGAACUCCGCAGUUAAGCGUGCUUGGGCGAGAGUAGUACUAGGAUGGGUGACCUCCCGGGAAGUCCUCGUGUUGCACCCCUUUUUAUUUUUUAAUUUUUUUUAAUGCAUCCUAAGACGAGUCUAAACUUGGAAACCUCAUAACUUUUGAACCGUGAGGAACUACGUCGCCCAUAGCACCAUUUCGGAAAGCCCCAGAAACCAUAAUGGGCGGUGAAUAGGCGGCGCCAAUUUUUCGGGCUCAAAUUCAGCCGUUUUGACCCUCAAACGGGCUGCGGAAAGUUUUGGCACGCAAAAAAGAUCGAAAGCGGAUUCUCAGGGUGUUUUUGAUGCUUUCUGAACGCCAUUAACCUCGACGCACUUUUUCGCUCGAAACAAAUUGGCAAGAAAAUCAUGUGGGUCCCACGGCCUCACAGGCUGCGAAAAGGAUAUGUAGAAACGAGAGUGAUGUACUGACGGGUGCGAUCAUACCAGCACUAAUGCACCGGAUCCCAUCAGAACUCCGCAGUUAAGCGUGCUUGGGCGAGAGUAGUACUAGGAUGGGUGACCUCCCGGGAAGUCCUCGUGUUGCACCCCUUUUUAUUUUUUAAUUUUUUUUAAUGCAUCCUAAGACGAGUCUAAACUUGGAAACCUCAUAACUUUUGAACCGUGAGGAACUACGUCGCCCAUAGCACCAUUUCGGAAAGCCCCAGAAACCAUAAUGGGCGGUGAAUAGGCGGCGCCAAUUUUUCGGGCUCAAAUUCAGCCGUUUUGACCCUCAAACGGGCUGCGGAAAGUUUUGGCACGCAAAAAAGAUCGAAAGCGGAUUCUCAGGGUGUUUUUGAUGCUUUCUGAACGCCAUUAACCUCGACGCACUUUUUCGCUCGAAACAAAUUGGCAAGAAAAUCAUGUGGGUCCCACGGCCUCACAGGCUGCGAAAAGGAUAUGUAGAAACGAGAGUGAUGUACUGACGGGUGCGAUCAUACCAGCACUAAUGCACCGGAUCCCAUCAGAACUCCGCAGUUAAGCGUGCUUGGGCGAGAGUAGUACUAGGAUGGGUGACCUCCCGGGAAGUCCUCGUGUUGCACCCCUUUUUAUUUUUUAAUUUUUUUUAAUGCAUCCUAAGACGAGUCUAAACUUGGAAACCUCAUAACUUUUGAACCGUGAGGAACUACGUCGCCCAUAGCACCAUUUCGGAAAGCCCCAGAAACCAUAAUGGGCGGUGAAUAGGCGGCGCCAAUUUUUCGGGCUCAAAUUCAGCCGUUUUGACCCUCAAACGGGCUGCGGAAAGUUUUGGCACGCAAAAAAGAUCGAAAGCGGAUUCUCAGGGUGUUUUUGAUGCUUUCUGAACGCCAUUAACCUCGACGCACUUUUUCGCUCGAAACAAAUUGGCAAGAAAAUCAUGUGGGUCCCACGGCCUCACAGGCUGCGAAAAGGAUAUGUAGAAACGAGAGUGAUGUACUGACGGGUGCGAUCAUACCAGCACUAAUGCACCGGAUCCCAUCAGAACUCCGCAGUUAAGCGUGCUUGGGCGAGAGUAGUACUAGGAUGGGUGACCUCCCGGGAAGUCCUCGUGUUGCACCCCUUUUUAUUUUUUAAUUUUUUUUAAUGCAUCCUAAGACGAGUCUAAACUUGGAAACCUCAUAACUUUUGAACCGUGAGGAACUACGUCGCCCAUAGCACCAUUUCGGAAAGCCCCAGAAACCAUAAUGGGCGGUGAAUAGGCGGCGCCAAUUUUUCGGGCUCAAAUUCAGCCGUUUUGACCCUCAAACGGGCUGCGGAAAGUUUUGGCACGCAAAAAAGAUCGAAAGCGGAUUCUCAGGGUGUUUUUGAUGCUUUCUGAACGCCAUUAACCUCGACGCACUUUUUCGCUCGAAACAAAUUGGCAAGAAAAUCAUGUGGGUCCCACGGCCUCACAGGCUGCGAAAAGGAUAUGUAGAAACGAGAGUGAUGUACUGACGGGUGCGAUCAUACCAGCACUAAUGCACCGGAUCCCAUCAGAACUCCGCAGUUAAGCGUGCUUGGGCGAGAGUAGUACUAGGAUGGGUGACCUCCCGGGAAGUCCUCGUGUUGCACCCCUUUUUAUUUUUUAAUUUUUUUUAAUGCAUCCUAAGACGAGUCUAAACUUGGAAACCUCAUAACUUUUGAACCGUGAGGAACUACGUCGCCCAUAGCACCAUUUCGGAAAGCCCCAGAAACCAUAAUGGGCGGUGAAUAGGCGGCGCCAAUUUUUCGGGCUCAAAUUCAGCCGUUUUGACCCUCAAACGGGCUGCGGAAAGUUUUGGCACGCAAAAAAGAUCGAAAGCGGAUUCUCAGGGUGUUUUUGAUGCUUUCUGAACGCCAUUAACCUCGACGCACUUUUUCGCUCGAAACAAAUUGGCAAGAAAAUCAUGUGGGUCCCACGGCCUCACAGGCUGCGAAAAGGAUAUGUAGAAACGAGAGUGAUGUACUGACGGGUGCGAUCAUACCAGCACUAAUGCACCGGAUCCCAUCAGAACUCCGCAGUUAAGCGUGCUUGGGCGAGAGUAGUACUAGGAUGGGUGACCUCCCGGGAAGUCCUCGUGUUGCACCCCUUUUUAUUUUUUAAUUUUUUUUAAUGCAUCCUAAGACGAGUCUAAACUUGGAAACCUCAUAACUUUUGAACCGUGAGGAACUACGUCGCCCAUAGCACCAUUUCGGAAAGCCCCAGAAACCAUAAUGGGCGGUGAAUAGGCGGCGCCAAUUUUUCGGGCUCAAAUUCAGCCGUUUUGACCCUCAAACGGGCUGCGGAAAGUUUUGGCACGCAAAAAAGAUCGAAAGCGGAUUCUCAGGGUGUUUUUGAUGCUUUCUGAACGCCAUUAACCUCGACGCACUUUUUCGCUCGAAACAAAUUGGCAAGAAAAUCAUGUGGGUCCCACGGCCUCACAGGCUGCGAAAAGGAUAUGUAGAAACGAGAGUGAUGUACUGACGGGUGCGAUCAUACCAGCACUAAUGCACCGGAUCCCAUCAGAACUCCGCAGUUAAGCGUGCUUGGGCGAGAGUAGUACUAGGAUGGGUGACCUCCCGGGAAGUCCUCGUGUUGCACCCCUUUUUAUUUUUUAAUUUUUUUUAAUGCAUCCUAAGACGAGUCUAAACUUGGAAACCUCAUAACUUUUGAACCGUGAGGAACUACGUCGCCCAUAGCACCAUUUCGGAAAGCCCCAGAAACCAUAAUGGGCGGUGAAUAGGCGGCGCCAAUUUUUCGGGCUCAAAUUCAGCCGUUUUGACCCUCAAACGGGCUGCGGAAAGUUUUGGCACGCAAAAAAGAUCGAAAGCGGAUUCUCAGGGUGUUUUUGAUGCUUUCUGAACGCCAUUAACCUCGACGCACUUUUUCGCUCGAAACAAAUUGGCAAGAAAAUCAUGUGGGUCCCACGGCCUCACAGGCUGCGAAAAGGAUAUGUAGAAACGAGAGUGAUGUACUGACGGGUGCGAUCAUACCAGCACUAAUGCACCGGAUCCCAUCAGAACUCCGCAGUUAAGCGUGCUUGGGCGAGAGUAGUACUAGGAUGGGUGACCUCCCGGGAAGUCCUCGUGUUGCACCCCUUUUUAUUUUUUAAUUUUUUUUAAUGCAUCCUAAGACGAGUCUAAACUUGGAAACCUCAUAACUUUUGAACCGUGAGGAACUACGUCGCCCAUAGCACCAUUUCGGAAAGCCCCAGAAACCAUAAUGGGCGGUGAAUAGGCGGCGCCAAUUUUUCGGGCUCAAAUUCAGCCGUUUUGACCCUCAAACGGGCUGCGGAAAGUUUUGGCACGCAAAAAAGAUCGAAAGCGGAUUCUCAGGGUGUUUUUGAUGCUUUCUGAACGCCAUUAACCUCGACGCACUUUUUCGCUCGAAACAAAUUGGCAAGAAAAUCAUGUGGGUCCCACGGCCUCACAGGCUGCGAAAAGGAUAUGUAGAAACGAGAGUGAUGUACUGACGGGUGCGAUCAUACCAGCACUAAUGCACCGGAUCCCAUCAGAACUCCGCAGUUAAGCGUGCUUGGGCGAGAGUAGUACUAGGAUGGGUGACCUCCCGGGAAGUCCUCGUGUUGCACCCCUUUUUAUUUUUUAAUUUUUUUUAAUGCAUCCUAAGACGAGUCUAAACUUGGAAACCUCAUAACUUUUGAACCGUGAGGAACUACGUCGCCCAUAGCACCAUUUCGGAAAGCCCCAGAAACCAUAAUGGGCGGUGAAUAGGCGGCGCCAAUUUUUCGGGCUCAAAUUCAGCCGUUUUGACCCUCAAACGGGCUGCGGAAAGUUUUGGCACGCAAAAAAGAUCGAAAGCGGAUUCUCAGGGUGUUUUUGAUGCUUUCUGAACGCCAUUAACCUCGACGCACUUUUUCGCUCGAAACAAAUUGGCAAGAAAAUCAUGUGGGUCCCACGGCCUCACAGGCUGCGAAAAGGAUAUGUAGAAACGAGAGUGAUGUACUGACGGGUGCGAUCAUACCAGCACUAAUGCACCGGAUCCCAUCAGAACUCCGCAGUUAAGCGUGCUUGGGCGAGAGUAGUACUAGGAUGGGUGACCUCCCGGGAAGUCCUCGUGUUGCACCCCUUUUUAUUUUUUAAUUUUUUUUAAUGCAUCCUAAGACGAGUCUAAACUUGGAAACCUCAUAACUUUUGAACCGUGAGGAACUACGUCGCCCAUAGCACCAUUUCGGAAAGCCCCAGAAACCAUAAUGGGCGGUGAAUAGGCGGCGCCAAUUUUUCGGGCUCAAAUUCAGCCGUUUUGACCCUCAAACGGGCUGCGGAAAGUUUUGGCACGCAAAAAAGAUCGAAAGCGGAUUCUCAGGGUGUUUUUGAUGCUUUCUGAACGCCAUUAACCUCGACGCACUUUUUCGCUCGAAACAAAUUGGCAAGAAAAUCAUGUGGGUCCCACGGCCUCACAGGCUGCGAAAAGGAUAUGUAGAAACGAGAGUGAUGUACUGACGGGUGCGAUCAUACCAGCACUAAUGCACCGGAUCCCAUCAGAACUCCGCAGUUAAGCGUGCUUGGGCGAGAGUAGUACUAGGAUGGGUGACCUCCCGGGAAGUCCUCGUGUUGCACCCCUUUUUAUUUUUUAAUUUUUUUUAAUGCAUCCUAAGACGAGUCUAAACUUGGAAACCUCAUAACUUUUGAACCGUGAGGAACUACGUCGCCCAUAGCACCAUUUCGGAAAGCCCCAGAAACCAUAAUGGGCGGUGAAUAGGCGGCGCCAAUUUUUCGGGCUCAAAUUCAGCCGUUUUGACCCUCAAACGGGCUGCGGAAAGUUUUGGCACGCAAAAAAGAUCGAAAGCGGAUUCUCAGGGUGUUUUUGAUGCUUUCUGAACGCCAUUAACCUCGACGCACUUUUUCGCUCGAAACAAAUUGGCAAGAAAAUCAUGUGGGUCCCACGGCCUCACAGGCUGCGAAAAGGAUAUGUAGAAACGAGAGUGAUGUACUGACGGGUGCGAUCAUACCAGCACUAAUGCACCGGAUCCCAUCAGAACUCCGCAGUUAAGCGUGCUUGGGCGAGAGUAGUACUAGGAUGGGUGACCUCCCGGGAAGUCCUCGUGUUGCACCCCUUUUUAUUUUUUAAUUUUUUUUAAUGCAUCCUAAGACGAGUCUAAACUUGGAAACCUCAUAACUUUUGAACCGUGAGGAACUACGUCGCCCAUAGCACCAUUUCGGAAAGCCCCAGAAACCAUAAUGGGCGGUGAAUAGGCGGCGCCAAUUUUUCGGGCUCAAAUUCAGCCGUUUUGACCCUCAAACGGGCUGCGGAAAGUUUUGGCACGCAAAAAAGAUCGAAAGCGGAUUCUCAGGGUGUUUUUGAUGCUUUCUGAACGCCAUUAACCUCGACGCACUUUUUCGCUCGAAACAAAUUGGCAAGAAAAUCAUGUGGGUCCCACGGCCUCACAGGCUGCGAAAAGGAUAUGUAGAAACGAGAGUGAUGUACUGACGGGUGCGAUCAUACCAGCACUAAUGCACCGGAUCCCAUCAGAACUCCGCAGUUAAGCGUGCUUGGGCGAGAGUAGUACUAGGAUGGGUGACCUCCCGGGAAGUCCUCGUGUUGCACCCCUUUUUAUUUUUUAAUUUUUUUUAAUGCAUCCUAAGACGAGUCUAAACUUGGAAACCUCAUAACUUUUGAACCGUGAGGAACUACGUCGCCCAUAGCACCAUUUCGGAAAGCCCCAGAAACCAUAAUGGGCGGUGAAUAGGCGGCGCCAAUUUUUCGGGCUCAAAUUCAGCCGUUUUGACCCUCAAACGGGCUGCGGAAAGUUUUGGCACGCAAAAAAGAUCGAAAGCGGAUUCUCAGGGUGUUUUUGAUGCUUUCUGAACGCCAUUAACCUCGACGCACUUUUUCGCUCGAAACAAAUUGGCAAGAAAAUCAUGUGGGUCCCACGGCCUCACAGGCUGCGAAAAGGAUAUGUAGAAACGAGAGUGAUGUACUGACGGGUGCGAUCAUACCAGCACUAAUGCACCGGAUCCCAUCAGAACUCCGCAGUUAAGCGUGCUUGGGCGAGAGUAGUACUAGGAUGGGUGACCUCCCGGGAAGUCCUCGUGUUGCACCCCUUUUUAUUUUUUAAUUUUUUUUAAUGCAUCCUAAGACGAGUCUAAACUUGGAAACCUCAUAACUUUUGAACCGUGAGGAACUACGUCGCCCAUAGCACCAUUUCGGAAAGCCCCAGAAACCAUAAUGGGCGGUGAAUAGGCGGCGCCAAUUUUUCGGGCUCAAAUUCAGCCGUUUUGACCCUCAAACGGGCUGCGGAAAGUUUUGGCACGCAAAAAAGAUCGAAAGCGGAUUCUCAGGGUGUUUUUGAUGCUUUCUGAACGCCAUUAACCUCGACGCACUUUUUCGCUCGAAACAAAUUGGCAAGAAAAUCAUGUGGGUCCCACGGCCUCACAGGCUGCGAAAAGGAUAUGUAGAAACGAGAGUGAUGUACUGACGGGUGCGAUCAUACCAGCACUAAUGCACCGGAUCCCAUCAGAACUCCGCAGUUAAGCGUGCUUGGGCGAGAGUAGUACUAGGAUGGGUGACCUCCCGGGAAGUCCUCGUGUUGCACCCCUUUUUAUUUUUUAAUUUUUUUUAAUGCAUCCUAAGACGAGUCUAAACUUGGAAACCUCAUAACUUUUGAACCGUGAGGAACUACGUCGCCCAUAGCACCAUUUCGGAAAGCCCCAGAAACCAUAAUGGGCGGUGAAUAGGCGGCGCCAAUUUUUCGGGCUCAAAUUCAGCCGUUUUGACCCUCAAACGGGCUGCGGAAAGUUUUGGCACGCAAAAAAGAUCGAAAGCGGAUUCUCAGGGUGUUUUUGAUGCUUUCUGAACGCCAUUAACCUCGACGCACUUUUUCGCUCGAAACAAAUUGGCAAGAAAAUCAUGUGGGUCCCACGGCCUCACAGGCUGCGAAAAGGAUAUGUAGAAACGAGAGUGAUGUACUGACGGGUGCGAUCAUACCAGCACUAAUGCACCGGAUCCCAUCAGAACUCCGCAGUUAAGCGUGCUUGGGCGAGAGUAGUACUAGGAUGGGUGACCUCCCGGGAAGUCCUCGUGUUGCACCCCUUUUUAUUUUUUAAUUUUUUUUAAUGCAUCCUAAGACGAGUCUAAACUUGGAAACCUCAUAACUUUUGAACCGUGAGGAACUACGUCGCCCAUAGCACCAUUUCGGAAAGCCCCAGAAACCAUAAUGGGCGGUGAAUAGGCGGCGCCAAUUUUUCGGGCUCAAAUUCAGCCGUUUUGACCCUCAAACGGGCUGCGGAAAGUUUUGGCACGCAAAAAAGAUCGAAAGCGGAUUCUCAGGGUGUUUUUGAUGCUUUCUGAACGCCAUUAACCUCGACGCACUUUUUCGCUCGAAACAAAUUGGCAAGAAAAUCAUGUGGGUCCCACGGCCUCACAGGCUGCGAAAAGGAUAUGUAGAAACGAGAGUGAUGUACUGACGGGUGCGAUCAUACCAGCACUAAUGCACCGGAUCCCAUCAGAACUCCGCAGUUAAGCGUGCUUGGGCGAGAGUAGUACUAGGAUGGGUGACCUCCCGGGAAGUCCUCGUGUUGCACCCCUUUUUAUUUUUUAAUUUUUUUUAAUGCAUCCUAAGACGAGUCUAAACUUGGAAACCUCAUAACUUUUGAACCGUGAGGAACUACGUCGCCCAUAGCACCAUUUCGGAAAGCCCCAGAAACCAUAAUGGGCGGUGAAUAGGCGGCGCCAAUUUUUCGGGCUCAAAUUCAGCCGUUUUGACCCUCAAACGGGCUGCGGAAAGUUUUGGCACGCAAAAAAGAUCGAAAGCGGAUUCUCAGGGUGUUUUUGAUGCUUUCUGAACGCCAUUAACCUCGACGCACUUUUUCGCUCGAAACAAAUUGGCAAGAAAAUCAUGUGGGUCCCACGGCCUCACAGGCUGCGAAAAGGAUAUGUAGAAACGAGAGUGAUGUACUGACGGGUGCGAUCAUACCAGCACUAAUGCACCGGAUCCCAUCAGAACUCCGCAGUUAAGCGUGCUUGGGCGAGAGUAGUACUAGGAUGGGUGACCUCCCGGGAAGUCCUCGUGUUGCACCCCUUUUUAUUUUUUAAUUUUUUUUAAUGCAUCCUAAGACGAGUCUAAACUUGGAAACCUCAUAACUUUUGAACCGUGAGGAACUACGUCGCCCAUAGCACCAUUUCGGAAAGCCCCAGAAACCAUAAUGGGCGGUGAAUAGGCGGCGCCAAUUUUUCGGGCUCAAAUUCAGCCGUUUUGACCCUCAAACGGGCUGCGGAAAGUUUUGGCACGCAAAAAAGAUCGAAAGCGGAUUCUCAGGGUGUUUUUGAUGCUUUCUGAACGCCAUUAACCUCGACGCACUUUUUCGCUCGAAACAAAUUGGCAAGAAAAUCAUGUGGGUCCCACGGCCUCACAGGUGCGAAAAGGAUAUGUAGAAACGAGAGUGAUGUACUGACGGGUGCGAUCAUACCAGCACUAAUGCACCGGAUCCCAUCAGAACUCCGCAGUUAAGCGUGCUUGGGCGAGAGUAGUACUAGGAUGGGUGACCUCCCGGGAAGUCCUCGUGUUGCACCCCUUUUUAUUUUUUAAUUUUUUUUAAUGCAUCCUAAGACGAGUCUAAACUUGGAAACCUCAUAACUUUUGAACCGUGAGGAACUACGUCGCCCAUAGCACCAUUUCGGAAAGCCCCAGAAACCAUAAUGGGCGGUGAAUAGGCGCGCGCCAAUUUUUCGGGCUCAAAUUCAGCCGUUUUGACCCUCAAACGGGCUGCGGAAAGUUUUGGCACGCAAAAAGAUCGAAAGCGGAUUCUCAGGGUGUUUUUGAUGCUUUCUGAACGCCAUUAACCUCGACGCACUUUUUCGCUCGAAACAAUUGGCAAGAAAAUCAUGUGGGUCCCACGGCCUCACAGGCUGCGAAAAGGAUAUGUAGAAACGAGAGUGAUGUACUGACGGGUGCGAUCAUACCAGCACUAAUGCACCGGAUCCCAUCAGAACUCCGCAGUUAAGCGUGCUUGGGCGAGAGUAGUACUAGGAUGGGUGACCUCCCGGGAAGUCCUCGUGUUGCACCCCUUUUUAUUUUUUAAUUUUUUUUAAUGCAUCCUAAGACGAGUCUAAACUUGGAAACCUCAUAACUUUUGAACCGUGAGGAACUACGUCGUCGCCAUAGCACCAUUUCGGAAAGCCCCAGAAACCAUAAUGGGCGGUGAAUAGGCGGCGCCAAUUUUUCGGGCUCAAAUUCAGCCGUUUUGACCCUCAAACGGGCUGCGGAAAGUUUUGGCACGCAAAAAAGAUCGAAAGCGGAUUCUCAGGGUGUUUUUGAUGCUUUCUGAACGCCAUUAACCUCGACGCACUUUUUCGCUCGAAACAAAUUGGCAAGAAAAUCAUGUGGGUCCCACGGCCUCACAGGCUGCGAAAAGGAUAUGUAGAAACGAGAGUGAUGUACUGACGGGUGCGAUCAUACCAGCACUAAUGCACCGGAUCCCAUCAGAACUCCGCAGUUAAGCGUGCUUGGGCGAGAGUAGUACUAGGAUGGGUGACCUCCCGGGAAGUCCUCGUGUUGCACCCCUUUUUAUUUUUUAAUUUUUUUAAUGCAUCCUAAGACGAGUCUAAACUUGGAAACCUCAUAACUUUUGAACCGUGAGGAACUACGUCGCCCAUAGCACCAUUUCGGAAAGCCCCAGAAACCAUAAUGGCGGUGAAUAGGCGGCGCCAAUUUUUCGGGCUCAAAUUCAGCCGUUUUGACCCUCAAACGGGCUGCGGCGGAAAAAAGAUGGGAAAAAACGUUUUUUGGUGUUACCAGAGGAAGGGUUUUUGUGUUAGUUUUUACAAAUGUUUUCACCUGAAUUGGCGUCACGUUUUGGCAACCCAAAAGAUCGAAAGCGGAUCUCAUUGGUGUUUUUAUGCUUUCUGACGCCAUUAACCUCGACCACUUUGUUCGCUCGAAACAAUUGGCAAGAAAUCAUUUGGGUCCAAGGCACGUGCCUCACAGGGUGCUGCGAAAGGAUAUGUAGAAACGAGAGUGAUGUACUGACGGGUGCGAUCAUACCAGCACUAAUGCACCGGAUCCCAUCAGAACUCCGCAGUUAAGCGUGCUUGGGCGAGAGUAGUACUAGGAUGGGUGACCUCCCGGGAAGUCCUCGUGUUGCACCCCUUUUUAUUUUUUAAUUUUUUUUAAUGCAUCCUAAGACGAGUCUAAACUUGGAAACCUCAUAACUUUUGAACCGUGAGGAACUACGUCGCCCAUAGCACCAUUUCGGAAGCCCCAGAAACCAUAAUGGGCGGUGAAUAGGCGGCGCCAAUUUUUCGGGCUCAAAUUCAGCCGUUUUGACCCUCAAACGGGCUGCGGAAAGUUUUGGCACGCAAAAAAGAUCGAAAGCGGAUUCUCAGGGUGUUUUUGAUGCUUUCUGAACGCCAUUAACCUCGACGCACUUUUUCGCUCGAAACAAAUUGGCAAGAAAAUCAUGUGGGUCCCACGGCCUCACAGGCUGCGAAAAGGAUAUGUAGAAACGAGAGUGAUGUACUGACGGGUGCGAUCAUACCAGCACUAAUGCACCGGAUCCCAUCAGAACUCCGCAGUUAAGCGUGCUUGGGCGAGAGUAGUACUAGGAUGGGUGACCUCCCGGGAAGUCCUCGUGUUGCACCCCUUUUUAUUUUUUAAUUUUUUUUAAUGCAUCCUAAGACGAGUCUAAACUUGGAAACCUCAUAACUUUUGAACCGUGAGGAACUACGUCGCCCAUAGCACCAUUUCGGAAAGCCCCAGAAACCAUAAUGGGCGGUGAAUAGGCGGCGCCAAUUUUUCGGGCUCAAAUUCACCCGUUUUGACCCUCAAACGGGCUGCGGAAAGUUUUGGCACGCAAAAAAGAUCGAAAGCGGAUUCUCAGGGUGUUUUUGAUGCUUUCUGAACGCCAUUAACCUCGACGCACUUUUUCGCUCGAAACAAAUUGGCAAGAAAAUCAUGUGGGUCCCACGGCCUCACAGGCUGCGAAAAGGAUAUGUAGAAACGAGAGUGAUGUACUGACGGGUGCGAUCAUACCAGCACUAAUGCACCGGAUCCCAUCAGAACUCCGCAGUUAAGCGUGCUUGGGCGAGAGUAGUACUAGGAUGGGUGACCUCCCGGGAAGUCCUCGUGUUGCACCCCUUUUUAUUUUUUAAUUUUUUUUAAUGCAUCCUAAGACGAGUCUAAACUUGGAAACCUCAUAACUUUUGAACCGUGAGGAACUACGUCGCCCAUAGCACCAUUUCGGAAAGCCCCAGAAACCAUAAUGGGCGGUGAAUAGGCGGCGCCAAUUUUUCGGGCUCAAAUUCAGCCGUUUUGACCCUCAAACGGGCUGCGGAAAGUUUUGGCACGCAAAAAAGAUCGAAAGCGGAUUCUCAGGGUGUUUUUGAUGCUUUCUGAACGCCAUUAACCUCGACGCACUUUUUCGCUCGAAACAAAUUGGCAAGAAAAUCAUGUGGGUCCCACGGCCUCACAGGCUGCGAAAAGGAUAUGUAGAAACGAGAGUGAUGUACUGACGGGUGCGAUCAUACCAGCACUAAUGCACCGGAUCCCAUCAGAACUCCGCAGUUAAGCGUGCUUGGGCGAGAGUAGUACUAGGAUGGGUGACCUCCCGGGAAGUCCUCGUGUUGCACCCCUUUUUAUUUUUUAAUUUUUUUUAAUGCAUCCUAAGACGAGUCUAAACUUGGAAACCUCAUAACUUUUGAACCGUGAGGAACUACGUCGCCCAUAGCACCAUUUCGGAAAGCCCCAGAAACCAUAAUGGGCGGUGAAUAGGCGGCGCCAAUUUUUCGGGCUCAAAUUCAGCCGUUUUGACCCUCAAACGGGCUGCGGAAAGUUUUGGCACGCAAAAAAGAUCGAAAGCGGAUUCUCAGGGUGUUUUUGAUGCUUUCUGAACGCCAUUAACCUCGACGCACUUUUUCGCUCGAAACAAAUUGGCAAGAAAAUCAUGUGGGUCCCACGGCCUCACAGGCUGCGAAAAGGAUAUGUAGAAACGAGAGUGAUGUACUGACGGGUGCGAUCAUACCAGCACUAAUGCACCGGAUCCCAUCAGAACUCCGCAGUUAAGCGUGCUUGGGCGAGAGUAGUACUAGGAUGGGUGACCUCCCGGGAGUCCUCGUGUUGCACCCCUUUUUAUUUUUAAAUUUUUUUUAAUGCAUCCUAAGACGAGUCUAAACUUGGAAACCUCAUAACUUUUGAACCGUGAGAACUACGUCUAAGACGAGUCUAAACUUGGAAACCUCAUAACUUUUGAACCGUGAGGAACUACGUCGCCCAUAGCACCAUUUCGGAAAGCCCCAGAAACCAUAAUGGGCGGUGAAUAGGCGGCGCCAAUUUUUCGGGCUCAAAUUCAGCCGUUUUGACCCUCAAACGGGCUGCGGAAAGUUUUGGCACGCAAAAAAAGAUCGAAAGCGGAUUCUCAGGGUGUUUUUGAUGCUUUCUGAACGCCAUUAACCUCGACGCACUUUUUCGCUCGAAACAAAUUGGCAAGAAAAUCAUGUGGGUCCCACGGCCUCACAGGCUGCGAAAAGGAUAUGUAGAAACGAGAGUGAUGUACUGACGGGUGCGAUCAUACCAGCACUAAUGCACCGGAUCCCAUCAGAACUCCGCAGUUAAGCGUGCUUGGGCGAGAGUAGUACUAGGAUGGGUGACCUCCCGGGAAGUCCUCGUGUUGCACCCCUUUUUAUUUUUUAAUUUUUUUUAAUGCAUCCUAAGACGAGUCUAAACUUGGAAACCUCAUAACUUUUGAACCGUGAGGAACUACGUCGCCCAUAGCACCAUUUCGGAAAGCCCCAGAAACCAUAAUGGGCGGUGAAUAGGCGGCGCCAAUUUUUCGGGCUCAAAUUCAGCCGUUUUGACCCUCAAACGGGCUGCGGAAAGUUUUGGCACGCAAAAAAGAUCGAAAGCGGAUUCUCAGGGUGUUUUUGAUGCUUUCUGAACGCCAUUAACCUCGACGCACUUUUUCGCUCGAAACAAAUUGGCAAGAAAAUCAUGUGGGUCCCACGGCCUCACAGGCUGCGAAAAGGAUAUGUAGAAACGAGAGUGAUGUACUGACGGGUGCGAUCAUACCAGCACUAAUGCACCGGAUCCCAUCAGAACUCCGCAGUUAAGCGUGCUUGGGCGAGAGUAGUACUAGGAUGGGUGACCUCCCGGGAAGUCCUCGUGUUGCACCCCUUUUUAUUUUUUAAUUUUUUUUAAUGCAUCCUAAGACGAGUCUAAACUUGGAAACCUCAUAACUUUUGAACCGUGAGGAACUACGUCGCCCAUAGCACCAUUUCGGAAAGCCCCAGAAACCAUAAUGGGCGGUGAAUAGGCGGCGCCAAUUUUUCGGGCUCAAAUUCAGCCGUUUUGACCCUCAAACGGGCUGCGGAAAGUUUUGGCACGCAAAAAAGAUCGAAAGCGGAUUCUCAGGGUGUUUUUGAUGCUUUCUGAACGCCAUUAACCUCGACGCACUUUUUCGCUCGAAACAAAUUGGCAAGAAAAUCAUGUGGGUCCCACGGCCUCACAGGCUGCGAAAAGAUAUGUAGAAACGAGAGUGAUGUACUGACGGGUGCGAUCAUACCAGCACUAAUGCACCGGAUCCCAUCAGAACUCCGCAGUUAAGCGUGCUUGGGCGAGAGUAGUACUAGGAUGGGUGACCUCCCGGGAAGUCCUCGUGUUGCACCCCUUUUUAUUUUUUAAUUUUUUUUAAUGCAUCCUAAGACGAGUCUAAACUUGGAAACCUCAUAACUUUUGAACCGUGAGGAACUACGUCGCCCAUAGCACCAUUUCGGAAAGCCCCAGAAACCAUAAUGGGCGGUGAAUAGGCGGCGCCAAUUUUUCGGGCUCAAAUUCAGCCGUUUUGACCCUCAAACGGGCUGCGGAAAGUUUUGGCACGCAAAAAAGAUCGAAAGCGGAUUCUCAGGGUGUUUUUGAUGCUUUCUGAACGCCAUUAACCUCGACGCACUUUUUCGCUCGAAACAAAUUGGCAAGAAAAUCAUGUGGGUCCCACGGCCUCACAGGCUGCGAAAAGGAUAUGUAGAAACGAGAGUGAUGUACUGACGGGUGCGAUCAUACCAGCACUAAUGCACCGGAUCCCAUCAGAACUCCGCAGUUAAGCGUGCUUGGGCGAGAGUAGUACUAGGAUGGGUGACCUCCCGGGAAGUCCUCGUGUUGCACCCCUUUUUAUUUUUUAAUUUUUUUUAAUGCAUCCUAAGACGAGUCUAAACUUGGAAACCUCAUAACUUUUGAACCGUGAGGAACUACGUCGCCCAUAGCACCAUUUCGGAAAGCCCCAGAAACCAUAAUGGGCGGUGAAUAGGCGGCGCCAAUUUUCGGGCUCAAAUUCAGCCGUUUUGACCCUCAAACGGGCUGCGGAAAGUUUUGGCACGCAAAAAAGAUCGAAAGCGGAUUCUCAGGGUGUUUUUGAUGCUUUCUGAACGCCAUUAACCUCGACGCACUUUUUCGCUCGAAACAAAUGGCAAGAAAAUCAUGUGGGUCCCACGGCCUCACAGGCUGCGAAAAGGAUAUGUAGAAACGAGAGUGAUGUACUGACGGGUGCGAUCAUACCAGCACUAAUGCACCGGAUCCCAUCAGAACUCCGCAGUUAAGCGUGCUUGGGCGAGAGUAGUACUAGGAUGGGUGACCUCCCGGGAAGUCCUCGUGUUGCACCCCUUUUUAUUUUUUAAUUUUUUUUAAUGCAUCCUAAGACGAGUCUAAACUUGGAAACCUCAUAACUUUUGAACCGUGAGGAACUACGUCGCCCAUAGCACCAUUUCGGAAAGCCCCAGAAACCAUAAUGGGCGGUGAAUAGGCGGCGCCAAUUUUUCGGGCUCAAAUUCAGCCGUUUUGACCCUCAAACGGGCUGCGGAAAGUUUUGGCACGCAAAAAAGAUCGAAAGCGGAUUCUCAGGGUGUUUUUGAUGCUUUCUGAACGCCAUUAACCUCGACGCACUUUUUCGCUCGAAACAAAAUGGCAAGAAAAUCAUGUGGGUCCCACGGCCUCACACAGGCUGCGAAAAGGAUAUGUAGAAACGAGAGUGAUGUACUGACGGGUGCGAUCAUACCAGCACUAAUGCACCGGAUCCCAUCAGAACUCCGCAGUUAAGCGUGCUUGGGCGAGAGUAGUACUAGGAUGGGUGACCUCCCGGGAAGUCCUCGUGUUGCACCCCUUUUUAUUUUUUAAUUUUUUUUAAUGCAUCCUAAGACGAGUCUAAACUUGGAAACCUCAUAACUUUUGAACCGUGAGGAACUACGUCGCCCAUAGCACCAUUUCGGAAAGCCCCAGAAACCAUAAUGGGCGGUGAAUAGGCGGCGCCAAUUUUUCGGGCUCAAAUUCAGCCGUUUUGACCCUCAAACGGGCUGCGGAAAGUUUUGGCACGCAAAAAAGAUCGAAAGCGGAUUCUCAGGGUGUUUUUGAUGCUUUCUGAACGCCAUUAACCUCGACGCACUUUUUCGCUCGAAACAAAUGGCAAGAAAAUCAUGUGGGUCCCACGGCCUCACAGGCUGCGAAAAGGAUAUGUAGAAACGAGAGUGAUGUACUGACGGGUGCGAUCAUACCAGCACUAAUGCACCGGAUCCCAUCAGAACUCCGCAGUUAAGCGUGCUUGGGCGAGAGUAGUACUAGGAUGGGUGACCUCCCGGGAAGUCCUCGUGUUGCACCCCUUUUUAUUUUUUAAUUUUUUUUAAUGCAUCCUAAGACGAGUCUAAACUUGGAAACCUCAUAACUUUUGAACCGUGAGGAACUACGUCGCCCAUAGCACCAUUUCGGAAAGCCCCAGAAACCAUAAUGGGCGGUGAAUAGGCGGCGCCAAUUUUUCGGGCUCAAAUUCAGCCGUUUUGACCCUCAAACGGGCUGCGGAAAGUUUUGGCACGCAAAAAAGAUCGAAAGCGGAUUCUCAGGGUGUUUUUGAUGCUUUCUGAACGCCAUUAACCUCGACGCACUUUUUCGCUCGAAACAAAUUGGCAAGAAAAUCAUGUGGGUCCCACGGCCUCACAGGCUGCGAAAAGGAUAUGUAGAAACGAGAGUGAUGUACUGACGGGUGCGAUCAUACCAGCACUAAUGCACCGGAUCCCAUCAGAACUCCGCAGUUAAGCGUGCUUGGGCGAGAGUAGUACUAGGAUGGGUGACCUCCCGGGAAGUCCUCGUGUUGCACCCCUUUUUAUUUUUUAAUUUUUUUUAAUGCAUCCUAAGACGAGUCUAAACUUGGAAACCUCAUAACUUUUGAACCGUGAGGAACUACGUCGCCCAUAGCACCAUUUCGGAAAGCCCCAGAAACCAUAAUGGGCGGUGAAUAGGCGGCGCCAAUUUUCGGGCUCAAAUUCAGCCGUUUUGACCCUCAAACGGGCUGCAGUUUUGGGAAAGACAUGGCACGCAAAAAAGAUCGAAAGCGGAUUCUCAGGUGUUUUUGAUGCUUUCUGAACGCCAUUAACCUCGACGCACUUUUUCGCUCGAAACAAAUUGGCAAGAAAAUCAUGUGGGUCCCACGGCCUCACAGGCUGCGAAAAGGAUAUGUAGAAACGAGAGUGAUGUACUGACGGGUGCGAUCAUACCAGCACUAAUGCACCGGAUCCCAUCAGAACUCCGCAGUUAAGCGUGCUUGGGCGAGAGUAGUACUAGGAUGGGUGACCUCCCGGGAAGUCCUCGUGUUGCACCCCUUUUUAUUUUUUAAUUUUUUUAAUGCAUCCUAAGACGAGUCUAAACUUGGAAACCUCAUAACUUUUGAACCGUGAGGAACUACGUCGCCCAUAGCACCAUUUCGGAAAGCCCCAGAAACCAUAAUGGGCGGUGAAUAGGCGGCGCCAAUUUUUCGGGCUCAAAUUCAGCCGUUUUGACCCUCAAACGGGCUGCGGAAAGUUUUGGCACGCAAAAAAGAUCGAAAGCGGAUUCUCAGGGUGUUUUUGAUGCUUUCUGAACGCCAUUAACCUCGACGCACUUUUUCGCUCGAAACAAAAUUGGCAAGAAAAUCAUGUGGGUCCCACGGCCUCACAGGCUGCGAAAAGGAUAUGUAGAAACGAGAGUGAUGUACUGACGGGUGCGAUCAUACCAGCACUAAUGCACCGGAUCCCAUCAGAACUCCGCAGUUAAGCGUGCUUGGGCGAGAGUUACUAGGAUGGGUGACCUCCCGGGAAGUCCUCGUGUUGCACCCCUUUUUAUUUUUUUAAU